This 406-nucleotide ribosomal RNA is filed under the name uncultured bacterium. RNAcentral's name for it is "partial 16S ribosomal RNA". It matches the Rfam family "Bacterial small subunit ribosomal RNA", at positions 28 to 526 of the family's 1533-position model. The record is from RNAcentral.
GACGAACGCUGCGGCGUGCCUAAUACAUGCAAGUAGGACGCAGUUGCGAACGGGUGAGUAACGCGGAGGUAACUGCCUAGUAGAGGGGGAAAACUAUUGGAAACGAUAGCUAAUACCGCAUACUAGUAGAUGGACCUGCGUUGUAUUAGCUAGUAGGUAGGGUAAUGGCCUACCUAGGCAACGAUACAUAGCCGACAUGAGAGGUUGAUCGGCCCCACUGGGACUGAGACCCGGCCCAGACUCCUACGGGAGGCAGCAGUAGGGAAUCUUCGGCAAUGGGGGGUGCCCUGACCGCGCAACGCCGCGUGAGUGAGGAAGGUUUUCGGAUCGUAGAGCUCUGUUGUUAAGGAAGCGGUACUUACCCAGAAAGGGACGGCUAACUACGUGCCAGCAGCCGCGGUAAUAC